Molecule: ribosomal RNA, 293 nt
Filed under: uncultured bacterium
Lineage: Bacteria
Description: partial 16S ribosomal RNA
Rfam family: Archaeal small subunit ribosomal RNA
Source: RNAcentral
GUGCCAGCCGCCGCGGUAAUACCGGCGGCCCGAGUGAUGACCGAUCUUAUUGGGCCUAAAGCGUCCGUAGCCGGCCUCGCAAGUCCGUCGGGAAAUCCAGUAGCUCAACUACUGGGCGUCCGGCGGAAACUACAAGGCUUGGGACCGGAAGGCCCGAGGGGUACGUCCGGGGUAGGAGUGAAAUCCUGUAAUCCUGGACGGACCGCCGGUGGCGAAAGCGCCUCGGGAGGACGGACCCGACGGUGAGGGACGAAAGCCAGGGUCUCGAACCGGAUUAGAUACCCGGGUAGUCC